This is a long non-coding RNA of Bombus impatiens (common eastern bumble bee), 725 nucleotides long. RefSeq lists it as uncharacterized. Lineage: Eukaryota; Metazoa; Arthropoda; Insecta; Hymenoptera; Apidae. The transcript has 5 exons. The record is from RefSeq and is a predicted model, not a curated record.
GGGGUCGAUAGAUGCCAGAUUAUAGCAUAUAUUUCCGGUUUCGCACAUCUGUCAUCGUUUAAUACAAAACUCUCGUGUAUAUUCAUACAUGUACGUACUUAAAGGAAAAAGGAAACCACGAAUAUUUUAUAUUAGAGAUGUAGAAAUAGGAAUGUAACCAGAAAUAAGAAAUGUUUAACGAUAAAACUGUUCAUCCAAGAAUCGAGAGGUAUUACAUCGUUUCUGUUUAAGGAUUCUAUUUUCCACGAGCUAUUGCAAGUGAUAUGUGAAAGGUGAUAUUCAGAAGUGGAGUAUACAUUAUACAAUUGGUGCUCGUAGAAGUGGGCUGGAUGAUAAAUCUUCCUGCUGAAUCAAAUAAAAGCAAAGGUGUUCUCAUGCAUAAAUUCCGCACGCGUGCUAUGAUGUACAUAUACCGAUGAGAUAGUACUUACAUGAUCAUAGCCAUUGUACAGUUCUGGCCAGAGACAAGAACCUGGCUCCACGACAUUUCUCUGCUUCCUGGAUCUUAGAUAGAUAUCUUGUUGUAGUAUAUUAAAGCGUACCGCGUACCAUUGGUAGAGAAACAAAAACAUGAAAACUCAGAAAGGAAGUUUCGUUACCGAUGGCAAAACAUCCCUGCUGGAGGCAGAACUUUUGGCACUUUUUCUAUGAGAUGCACUUUAAAUAACAACAAAUGCAAGUAUCAUAGAUCCUGCAUAUUUUGAGCAAAGUGAAACAACCACACG